This 253-nucleotide ribosomal RNA is filed under the name uncultured bacterium. RNAcentral describes it as "partial 16S ribosomal RNA". It matches the Rfam family "Bacterial small subunit ribosomal RNA", at positions 524 to 776 of the family's 1533-position model. The record is from RNAcentral.
UACGUAGGGUGCGAGCGUUGUCCGGAAUUAUUGGGCGUAAAGGGCUCGUAGGCGGUUUGUCGCGUCGGGAGUGAAAACCAUGGGCUUAACUCAUGGCUUGCUUCCGAUACGGGCAGACUAGAGGUAUGCAGGGGAGAACGGAAUUCCUGGUGUAGCGGUGAAAUGCGCAGAUAUCAGGAGGAACACCGGUGGCGAAGGCGGCAUCCUGGACCGGUAUUGACGCUGAGGCGCGAAAGCCAGGGGAGCAAACGGG